GCGCGGUUGCGGCUAACGGUAUGCCGUUCACCACUACCGGUGAAGAUCCGGGUUCGACUCCCGGCCCGCGCG
This 72-nucleotide transfer RNA is filed under the name Microbacterium phage DustyDino. RNAcentral's name for it is "tRNA-OTHER". Lineage: Duplodnaviria; Heunggongvirae; Uroviricota; Caudoviricetes. The record is from RNAcentral.